This 481-nucleotide ribosomal RNA is filed under the name uncultured bacterium. Its description in RNAcentral is "partial 16S ribosomal RNA". It matches the Rfam family "Bacterial small subunit ribosomal RNA", at positions 28 to 507 of the family's 1533-position model. The record is from RNAcentral.
GAUGAACGCUGGCGGCGUGCUUAACACAUGCAGGUCGAACGAAGCACUUUAUUUGAUUUCCUUCGGGACUGAUUAUUUUGUGACUGAGUGGCGGACGGGUGAGUAACGCGUGGGUAACCUGCCUUGUACAGGGGGAUAACAGUUGGAAACGGCUGCUAAUACCGCAUAAGCGCACAGCAUCGCAUGAUGCAGUGUGAAAAACUCCGGUGGUAUAAGAUGGACCCGCGUUGGAUUAGCUAGUUGGUGAGGUAACGGCCCACCAAGGCGACGAUCCAUAGCCGACCUGAGAGUGUGACCGGCCACAUUGGGACUGAGACACGGCCCAAACUCCUACGGGAGGCAGCAGUGGGGAAUAUUGCACAAUGGGCGAAAGCCUGAUGCAGCGACGCCGCGUGAGCGAAGAAGUAUUUCGGUAUGUAAAGCUCUAUCAGCAGGCAAGAUAAUGACGGUACCUGAUUAAGAAGCACCGGCUAAAUACGUG